UUGGGUGCAGAGUCAGACCUGAUGUUAAGUGACCUCUGCACAGAUUUGGUCCAAUUAAUUUUGUUUUUUGAGGAGUUAAAGAAGCUUGAUUAUUUAAUUAAAUCAUAUAGUUUAUCUGGCUCGUAUUCUAAGUGCUUUGGGGGAUUUAAUAAGAGAGAACCUAACCAGAUUUACCUUACCUUUCUUUACUUGCCUUGUGCUUUGCUUUUUGCUUCCUCAGUAUACAUAUUUUUGUAAAUUUAAAUCUGAAAUUAAGAGCUAUUAAUGCAAAUACAAGGUCAUUAAUGUACUAAUGUGAAAAUAGUGUACUUAUGUGUGUGUGCAUUUCAUAUAUUUCCCCUUUGAAAUAAAAAAAAAUACUUUUGGGUAA
Molecule: long non-coding RNA, 370 nt
Organism: Rhinichthys klamathensis goyatoka
Lineage: Eukaryota; Metazoa; Chordata; Actinopteri; Cypriniformes; Leuciscidae
Exons: 2
Source: RefSeq, a predicted model, not a curated record